This is a non-coding RNA of Mus musculus (house mouse), 142 nucleotides long. The record is from Rfam. NCBI's taxonomy places the organism in Eukaryota, Metazoa, Chordata, Mammalia, Rodentia, Muridae.
UCCCCCGGCAAUGGGCAAAAAACCACAUUAUUGGUGGUGGUGUUCUCAUAUCAGUCAGGGGCAGAUCAGAGGGCGGUCCUUUGUCCCUCCAGCUUGAUGGCUGGCUUGGUGGCCAAAGCUGUUUUAUGCCUAGGACUCAUAA